UAAUUCCUGUAUCUCUGGCUCCUUUGCAUUUAACCGAGAAAAUCUUUCGCCUUUUACUAAAGAUUUCCGGCAGAGGUGCAUUUUAUGAAUAUCAAAUAAUUUUUGGAAUCCCCUCGAGAGAGCGGGAUA
This 129-nucleotide small nuclear RNA is filed under the name Oesophagostomum dentatum (nodular worm). RNAcentral's name for it is "U5 spliceosomal RNA". It matches the Rfam family "U5 spliceosomal RNA". From Rfam's summary of the family: U5 RNA is a component of both types of known spliceosome. The precise function of this molecule is unknown, though it is known that the 5' loop is required for splice site selection and p220 binding, and that both the 3' stem-loop and the Sm site are important for Sm protein binding and cap methylation. The record is from RNAcentral. Lineage: Eukaryota; Metazoa; Nematoda; Chromadorea; Rhabditida; Strongylidae.